RNAcentral lists this transfer RNA (82 nucleotides) under Cervus elaphus hippelaphus. RNAcentral describes it as "tRNA-Leu". The record is from RNAcentral. Lineage: Eukaryota; Metazoa; Chordata; Mammalia; Artiodactyla; Cervidae.
GGUAGCGUGGCCGAGUGGUCUAAGACACUGGGUUAAGGUUCCAGUCUCUUUGGGGGCGUAGGUUUGAAUCCCACUACCGUCA